CCUACGGGGGGCAGCAGUGGGGAAUAUUGGACAAUGGGGGCAACCCUGAUCCAGCCAUGCCGCGUGUGUGAAGAAGGCCCUCGGGUUGUAAAGCACUUUCAGUGAGGAAGAACGCCUGGUGGUUAAUACCCAUCAGGAAAGACAUCACUCACAGAAGAAGCACCGGCUAACUCCGUGCCAGCAGCCGCGGUAAUACGGAGGGUGCGAGCGUUAAUCGGAAUUACUGGGCGUAAAGCGCGCGUAGGUGGCUUGAUAAGCCGGUUGUGAAAGCCCCGGGCUCAACCUGGGAACGGCAUCCGGAACUGUCAAGCUAGAGUGCAGGAGAGGAAGGUAGAAUUCCCGGUGUAGCGGUGAAAUGCGUAGAGAUCGGGAGGAAUACCAGUGGCGAAGGCGGCCUUCUGGACUGACACUGACACUGAGGUGCGAAAGCGUGGGUAGCAAACAGGAUUACAUACCCCGGUAGUC
This 465-nucleotide ribosomal RNA is filed under the name Vreelandella stevensii. RNAcentral describes it as "partial 16S ribosomal RNA". It matches the Rfam family "Bacterial small subunit ribosomal RNA", at positions 338 to 795 of the family's 1533-position model. The record is from RNAcentral. Lineage: Bacteria; Pseudomonadati; Pseudomonadota; Gammaproteobacteria; Oceanospirillales; Halomonadaceae.